Molecule: ribosomal RNA, 543 nt
Filed under: uncultured bacterium
Lineage: Bacteria
Description: bacterial SSU rRNA
Rfam family: Bacterial small subunit ribosomal RNA
Source: RNAcentral
AAUAGAUACCCGGGUAGUCCACGCCGUAAACGAUGAGUGCUAAGUGUUGGGGGGUUUCCGCCCCUCAGUGCUGCAGCUAACGCAUUAGGCACUCCGCCUGGGGAGUACGGUCGCAAGACUGAAACUCAAAGGAAUUGACGGGGGCCCGCACAAGCGGUGGAGCAUGUGGUUUAAUUCGAAGCAACGCGAAGAACCUUACCAGGUCUUGACAUCCCAGUGACCACUAUGGAGACAUAGUUUCCCCUUCGGGGGCAACGGUGACAGGUGGUGCAUGGUUGUCGUCAGCUCGUGUCGUGAGAUGUUGGGUUAAGUCCCGCAACGAGCGCAACCCUUAUUCUUAGUUGCCAUCAUUCAGUUGGGCACUCUAAGGAGACUGCCGGUGAUAAACCGGAGGAAGGUGGGGAUGACGUCAAAUCAUCAUGCCCCUUAUGACCUGGGCUACACACGUGCUACAAUGGACGGUACAAACGGUUGCCAACCCGCGAGGGGAGCUAAUCCGAUAAAACCGUUCUCAGUUCGGAUUGUAGGCUGCAACUCGCCUAC